UCUAAAACUCAAAGGAAUUGACGGGGCCCGCACAAGCGGUGGAGCAUGUGGUUUAAUUUGACGCAACGCGCAGAACCUUACCAGCCCUUGACAUGUCCAGGACCGGUCGCAGAGAUGUGACCUUUUUUUUGGAGCCUGGAGCACAGGUGGUGCAUGGCUGUCGUCAGCUCGUGUCGUGAGAUGUUGGGUUAAGUCCCGCAACGAGCGCAACCCUCGCCCUUAGUUGCCAUCAUUCAGUUGGGCACUCUAAGGGGACUGCCGGUGAUAAGCCGAGAGGAAGGUGGGGAUGACGUCAAGUCCUCAUGGCCCUUACGGGCUGGGCUACACACGUGCUACAAUGGCGGUGACAAUGGGAUGCAAAGGCGCGAGCCCUAGCAAAUCUCAAAAAA
RNAcentral lists this ribosomal RNA (389 nucleotides) under uncultured bacterium. Its description in RNAcentral is "bacterial SSU rRNA". It matches the Rfam family "Bacterial small subunit ribosomal RNA", at positions 893 to 1281 of the family's 1533-position model. The record is from RNAcentral.